This 387-nucleotide ribosomal RNA is filed under the name uncultured bacterium. RNAcentral describes it as "bacterial SSU rRNA". It matches the Rfam family "Bacterial small subunit ribosomal RNA", at positions 29 to 416 of the family's 1533-position model. The record is from RNAcentral.
AUUGAACGCUGGCGGAAUGCUUUACACAUGCAAGUCGGGCGGCAGCGCGGGGGCAACCCUGGCGGCGAGCGGCGAACGGGUGAGUAAUACAUUGGAACGUGUCCUUGAGUGGGGGAUAGCUCGGCGAAAGCCGGAUUAAUACCGCAUAAGCUCUGAGGAGGAAAGCGGGGACUGGUAACGGCCUCGCGCUGUUGGAGCGGCCGAUGUCGGAUUAGCUAGUUGGUGGGGUAAAGGCCCACCAAGGCGACGAUCCGUAGCUGGUCUGAGAGGAUGAUCAGCCACACUGGAACUGAGACACGGUCCAGACUCCUACGGGAGGCAGCAGUGGGGAAUUUUGGACAAGUGGGGCAACCCUGAUCCAGCCAUUCCGCGUGAGUGAAGAAGGCC